Molecule: long non-coding RNA, 2681 nt
Organism: Glycine soja
Lineage: Eukaryota; Viridiplantae; Streptophyta; Magnoliopsida; Fabales; Fabaceae
Exons: 5
Source: RefSeq, a predicted model, not a curated record
UUUGCUUCCGCAUUUGAGAGUGGUGUUGCUGCUCUUAGGACCGUAUCCAUCUCCUCGACCCUUCUAGAACCCCUCUCUACACACUUCCUCAUUUCUCUACUAAUCCCACCCCAAACGGCACUGUUUCACCUCUUGCUCGCUGCACCGCCAGAGCCACCACUUCUCUUCUUCGCCAAUCACGUUCCAACGAGUGGAAAUAGGCAAACACAAGAUGUACCUAUUCUUAAGGAUUGUUCAAUUUGCAUUCCUUGUAGGUAGUUUUGGAUGCUUAUUGGACCCAAUGGGUGUGGAAAAUCUACCCUCUUGAAGAAGAAGAUAAGAAAGCUUUUGGAAUGACUCACAGUCAAAAGAGGCAACAUUGCUUGAAGCAGAGAAUAUUUCAUGUGGAAAUAGACAAACACAUGAUGUACCGGUUCUUAAGGAUUGUUCGAUUUGCAUUCCUUGCGGGUAGUUUUGGAUGCUUAUUGGACCCAAUGGGUGUGGAAAAUCUACUCUCUUGAAGAAGAAGAUAAGAAAGCUUUUGGAAUGACUCACAUUCAAAAGAGGCAACAUUGCUUGAAGCAAAGAAGAUUUCAUUGUAAAUCUGAAGUGAAUUUCAUUGUCUUUUUUUUUAAUGGUAAACCCGAUAUGAUAUGGUAAGUUCAUUCCCUUUUGUCAUUUUUAUGGUUUUAUUUGUGAUGUUUCCUUGCACUUUGAAAUUUCAAGAAGAAGAGUUUCUUCUAUUUUUUUAUUGUUCUAUUUUUUUUUUUUUUUGAGAUUUUGCAUUCUUUUGUUCUCACUUUGGGUAUUGUUAGGUUUUCAGAUUCUGACAAGGAUAGGAUUCUGGCUUCAAUAUUCACAAAAUUGAUUCUUACUCAAUUUUUGCUGCUCAAGAUUUUGCAUUUUUUUAUUCUUACUUUUGUAAAAUCAAUAGCUUAUUCUUCACUUUUGUAAAAUGAGUGGGUUGGUUAAGGGAAUGAUGGAUUUUGAUUUUUAGAAUCAAAAUUUUGAUUAGUAUAUGCCCGAGGUAAGGAUGUAAGGAAUGGAAAAUAUAGUUGGACAUUUUCUCGAACAGAUUACGUUCAAGCUUUAGAUUUUGAUUGUUUUGAUUUUUCAGUGGAAAUAGACAAACACAGGAUGUACUGGUUCUUAAGGAUUGUUCAAUUUGCAUUCCUUGCGGGUAGUUUUGGAUGCUUAUUGGACCCAAUGGGUGUGAAAAAUAUAUCCUCUUGAAGGUAUUUUGCACGGUUUUGGUCAUCUUUUUGCUAUUUUUUUCACUGUGCUUUUUUUAUGUUAACUAUUAGUUUUAUUUUGUAUUCAAAUUGCAUCACCUUUUUGCUGAUUUUUUUUUCGCUGUGUUUUUUUAUUUCACUAUUAGUUUUAUUUUGUAUUCAAAUUGCAUCACUAGUAGAAGAUAAGAUUAUGGCUUAAUAUUCACAAAAUUAAUUCUUGCUCAAUUUUUCUGCUCAAGAUUCUGCAUUUUUUUAUUCUCACUUUUGUAAAAUCAAUAGUCUAUUCUUCACUUUUGUAAAUUGAGUGGAUUGGUUAAAGGAAUGAUGAAUUUUGAUUUUUAGAAUCAGAAUUUUGAUUAAUAUAUGCCCGGGGUAUGGAUAUAAGGAAUGGAAAGUAUAGUAGAUAGUAUAUAAAUUGUUUUUUUUUUAAAUUCUGGUAGGGUAGGCGAGUAGUAGUGUAGAGGAUGUAUUUCUUUAUAGUACCAAUGUUGAUGAAUAUCUACAUCCUCUAAAUAAUAAUUUUUUCAUUCCGGGUGAUAUUCAUUAUAUUGUGGACACCAUUUUGAUAAAUUGUCCUUCUUUAUCCUUGCAUUUUGAUAUGGUAAGUUCAUUCCUUUUUGUCUCUUUGACGGUUUUAUCUUUGAUGUAUUUAUUUUAUCCAUUUGUGAAUGUUUCCUUGCACUUUGAAAUUUCAGAAGAACGUGAAUCUUCUUUCUCUUGAGGAUAAGCGGUUUAAAAUGCUUUUUGUUUCCCUAUCUAUAUAAGUGGUUUAAAGAUUCAUUUUUUUAUUAAUCCUAACUUGCAAGUUCUAUUAAGGCAUCACUGGUCUCCAUAACAAAGUAAGUCAAUCUUUUUCUUUCCUCUUGGCUGGUGAGUUUGUUCUUUUCUUUUUCUAUCUUAUUGGUAUUCUAUUCCCCUCCCCCCCCCCCUCCCUUUAACCCUCAUUUGAUCCAUUCUUGACCGCUAACAAUGAAGAACUUAUAAGCCAAAAGGAUAAUUUAUCAUCAAGAUUGAGAAUUAAGGUGGCAAGGAUAGUAUUCUCGCUUCAAUAUUCACAAAAUUGAAGUUACUGUAGCUCUUAUAUAAAUGAUUGGAAUGUAUUUGACACAGAAGCCAUUGAUUCUCACUUAAUUUUUGCUGCUCAAGAUUCUACAUUUUUUAUUCUCACUUUUGUAAAAUCAACAGCCUAUUCUUCGCUUAUAGUAAUAGUAGAUUAUAUUAUUGGUUGGUAAAAUGAGUGGGUUGUAUAAUGUAGCAUAUGUUGCUUAAGGGAAUGAUGGAUUUUGAUUUUUAAAAUCAGAAUUUUGAUUAGGAUAUAAAUUGUUUUUUAUUUUAUUUUGAACAGGAUAGGCGAGUAGUAGUAUAGAGGAUGUAUUACUUUAUAGGACUAGAUGUAUAUCUACAUCCUCUAAAUAAUAAUUUUUUCAUUCCUGGUGAUAUUUAUUAUAUUGUGGACACUAUUUUGAUAAA